RNAcentral lists this ribosomal RNA (981 nucleotides) under bacterium AM1A15. Its description in RNAcentral is "bacterial SSU rRNA". It matches the Rfam family "Bacterial small subunit ribosomal RNA", at positions 34 to 1023 of the family's 1533-position model. The record is from RNAcentral.
CACUCCCUGGGGCAGCCUAAAUGCAGUCGAACGGCAGCACGGGUGCUUGUGCUUGGUGGCUUGUGGUCGCGGGUGGGUGAUACAUGAGAACAUGCCCUGUAGUGGGAGAUGGCCCCGCGACGGCCGGAUUAACACCGCACACUAUCUACAGAUGAGAGCGGGGGACCUUCCGGCCUCCUCCCGGGGGUGGGCCGAUGGCUGAUUAACUAGUUGGUGGGGUAAAGGCCUACCCAGGCGACCAUCACUAGCUGGUCUGAGAGGACGACCAGCCACACUGGGACUGAGACACGGCCCGCACUCCUACGGAAGGCAGCGGCGGGAAUUUUGGAUGUGGGCGAAAGCCUGAUCCAUCAAUGCCUCCUGUGUGUGUAAGGCCUUCCUUUUGUAAAUAACUUUUGUCCGGAAGAAAUCCUUGUCUCUAAUACAUUCCGGGGAUGACGGAACCGGCUAAUGAACACCGGCUAACUACGUGCCUGCCGCACCGUAAUACGUAGGGUGCGAGCGUUAAUCAAUUAUUACUGACUGGAAAUCAUGCGCGCGCAUUUUGCUAAGACAGAUGUGUCCUCCCCGGGCUCCUCUGACAACUGAUGUGGAGACUGGGGGCUAUUUAAGGGAGAUGGGGGUAGAAGUACUGUGUAGCAAGAAAUGCAUACAGAGGAGAAGAAUGAUGAUCGCUGGCGCACCCCCCUGUCCCGAUACUGACUCUCACGCACAAACGUGAGGGGCGCGAGCAAGAUAUAUACCCUGCUUGUCCACCCCACACCCUGUCUCCUACUAGUUGGUGUGUUAAUCGUUUCCUUAAUAACGCGGUCACGCGUGAAGUUCACCUUCUGCGGCAUGACGGUCACAGUAUUAAAACUCAAAAGUAUUGGGGGGUGACCCCCACCCGCUGUAGAUGUGGAAUAUUUUGUUGAUUCGCUAGAAACAUAUUAACCCCUCCCGGCGUGGGCAGUAUCCCGGAAUCAAGGGAAGUGUCCGAUA